UCGAGUAUGGUGUAAAAGCUAACAUUGCCGGCUCUCAUAGGCACGCUUUGUGAUAAAUUUCUGCGGCAGCUUAGGGUUCGAUUCCCUGUACUCGAA
Non-coding RNA from Crucibulum laeve, 96 nucleotides. The record is from the annotation of a GenBank genome assembly. NCBI's taxonomy places the organism in Eukaryota, Fungi, Basidiomycota, Agaricomycetes, Agaricales, Nidulariaceae.